CCUACGGGUGGCUGCAGUGGGGGAUAUUGCACAAUGGGGGGAACCCUGAUGCAGCGACGCCGCGUGGGUGAAGGAGCGUUUCGGCGCGUAAAGCCCUAUCGGCAGGGAAGAAAAUGCCGGUACCUGUCCCAGAAGCCCCGGCUCACUACGUGCCAGCAGCCGCGGCAAUACGUAGGGGGCAAGGGUUAUCCGGAUUUUCUGGGGGUAAAGGGGGCGCAGACGGGAAUGCAAGCCAGGAGUGAAAGCCCUGGGCCAAACCCCGGGACUGCUUUUGGAACUGCAGGGCUGGAGUACAGGAGGGGAAGGCGGAAUUCGUAGUGUAGCGGUGAAAUGCGUAGAUAUUAGGAGGAACACCGGUGGCGAUGGCGGCCUGCUGGACUGUGACUGACGUUGAGGCACGAAGGCGUGGGGAGCAAACAGGAUUAGAUACCCGAGUAGUC
Molecule: ribosomal RNA, 440 nt
Filed under: uncultured bacterium
Lineage: Bacteria
Description: partial 16S ribosomal RNA
Rfam family: Bacterial small subunit ribosomal RNA
Source: RNAcentral